UACGUAGGGUGCAGGCGUUAAUCGGAAUUACUGGGCGUAAAGCGUGCGCAGGCGGUCUGCUAAGAGAGGUGUGAAAUCCCCGGGCUUAACCUGGGAACUGCGUCUGAUACUGGAAGGCUUGAGUAUGGGAGAGGGAUGUAGAAUUCCAGGUGUAGCGGUGAAAUGCGUAGAUAUCUGGAGGAAUACCGGUGGCGAAGGCGGCAUCCUGGACCAUUACUGACGCUGAGGCGCGAAAGCUAGGGGAGCAAACGGG
RNAcentral lists this ribosomal RNA (253 nucleotides) under uncultured bacterium. Its description in RNAcentral is "partial 16S ribosomal RNA". It matches the Rfam family "Bacterial small subunit ribosomal RNA", at positions 524 to 776 of the family's 1533-position model. The record is from RNAcentral.